AAUGAACGCUGGCGGCAGGCCUAAACAUGCAAGUCGAACGCUGUAGCAAUACAGAGUGGCGCACGGGUGAGUAACAUGUGGGAAUAUGCCUAUUGGUACGGAACAACGUUUGGAAACGAACGCUAAUACCGUAUGGUCCCUUCGGGGUAAAGAUUUAUCGCCAAUAGAUUAGCCCGCACUAGAUUAGCUAGUUGGUGAGGUAAGAGCUCACCAAGCCGACGAUCGGUAGCUGGUCUGAGAGGAUGAUCAGCCACACUGGGACUGAGAUACGGCCCAGACUCCUACGGGAGGCAGCAGUGGGGAAUAUUGGACAAUGGGGCAACCCUGAUCCAGCAAUGCCGCGUGAGUGAUGAAGGCCUUAGGGUUGUAAAGCUCUUUUGCCAGGGAAGAUGAUGACUGUACCUGGAGAAUAAGCCCCGGCUAACUUCGUGCCAGCAGCCG
This 441-nucleotide ribosomal RNA is filed under the name uncultured bacterium. RNAcentral describes it as "bacterial SSU rRNA". It matches the Rfam family "Bacterial small subunit ribosomal RNA", at positions 29 to 517 of the family's 1533-position model. The record is from RNAcentral.